CGCGUAGGCGGGAAUGCAAGUCAGACGUGAAAUCCAGGGGCUUAACCCUUGAACUGCAUUUGAAACUGUAUUUCUUGAGUGUCGGAGAGGUUGACGGAAUUCCUAGUGUAGCGGUGAAAUGCGUAGAUAUUAGGAGGAACACCAGUGGCGAAGGCGGUCAACUGGACGAUAACUGACGCUGAGGCGCGAAAGCGUGGGGAGCAAACA
RNAcentral lists this ribosomal RNA (207 nucleotides) under uncultured bacterium. Its description in RNAcentral is "partial 16S ribosomal RNA". It matches the Rfam family "Bacterial small subunit ribosomal RNA", at positions 568 to 774 of the family's 1533-position model. The record is from RNAcentral.